UGAGGAAUAUUGGUCAAUGGGCUUACGCCUGAACCAGCCAAGUCGCGUGAGGGAAGACUGCCCUAUGGGUUGUAAACCUCUUUUGUCAGGGAGCAACAACAUCUACGAGUAGGUGUUACGAGAGUACCUGAAGAAAAAGCAUCGGCUAACUCCGUGCCAGCAGCCGCGGUAAUACGGAGGAUGCGAGCGUUAUCCGGAUUUAUUGGGUUUAAAGGGUGCGUAGGCGGAAUGUCAAGUCAGCGGUCAAAUCGCGGGGCUCAACCUCGCUUCGCCGUUGAAACUGGUGUUCUUGAGUGGGCGAGAAGUAUGCGGAAUGCGUGGUGUAGCGGUGAAA
RNAcentral lists this ribosomal RNA (334 nucleotides) under uncultured Porphyromonadaceae bacterium. Its description in RNAcentral is "bacterial SSU rRNA". It matches the Rfam family "Bacterial small subunit ribosomal RNA", at positions 355 to 686 of the family's 1533-position model. The record is from RNAcentral. Lineage: Bacteria; Pseudomonadati; Bacteroidota; Bacteroidia; Bacteroidales; Porphyromonadaceae.